GGAGGAUCAUUAUCGUAGGGCUUCGGCCCUGUCGAGAUAGAACCCUUGCCUUUUUGAGUACCUUUCGUUUCCUCGGCAGGCUCGCCUGCCAAUGGGGACCACAAAAAACACUUUGCAGUACCUGUAACAGUCUGAACAAACAAAACAAAAAUUAAAACUUUCAACAACGGAUCUCUUGGUUCUGGCAUCGAUGAAGAACGCAGCGAAAUGCGAUAAGUAGUGUGAAUUGCAGAAUUCAGUGAAUCAUCGAAUCCUUGAACGCACAUUGCGCCCUUUGGUAUUCCUUAGGGCAUGCCUGUUCGAGCGUCAUUUAAACCUUCAAGCUAAGCUUGGUGUUGGGUGACUGUCCGCUUCACUGCGGACUCGCCUCAAAAUUAUUGGCGGCCGGUACAUUGGCUUCGAGCGCAGCAGAAACGCGAACUCGGGCCCGUCGUAUUGGCUCCCAGAAGCUAUCUUCACAAUUUUGACCUCGGAUCAGGUAGGGAUACCCGCUGAACUUAAGCAUAUCAAUAAGCGGAGGA
This 521-nucleotide ribosomal RNA is filed under the name uncultured Pleosporales. RNAcentral describes it as "eukaryotic LSU rRNA". The stretch from base 156 to 309 matches the Rfam family "5.8S ribosomal RNA". The record is from RNAcentral. Lineage: Eukaryota; Fungi; Ascomycota; Dothideomycetes; Pleosporales.